This 460-nucleotide ribosomal RNA is filed under the name uncultured bacterium. Its description in RNAcentral is "partial 16S ribosomal RNA". It matches the Rfam family "Bacterial small subunit ribosomal RNA", at positions 338 to 795 of the family's 1533-position model. The record is from RNAcentral.
CCUACGGGAGGCAGCAGUGAGGAAUAUUGGUCAAUGGACGAGAGUCUGAACCAGCCAAGUAGCGUGAAGGAUGACUGCCCUAUGGGUUGUAAACUUCUUUUAUAUGGGAAUAAAACGUUCCACGUGUGGGAUUUUGUAUGUACCAUAUGAAUAAGGAUCGGCUAACUCCGUGCCAGCAGCCGCGGUAAUACGGAGGAUCCGAGCGUUAUCCGGAUUUAUUGGGUUUAAAGGGAGCGUAUGUGGAUUGUUAAGUCAGUUGUGAAAGUUUGCGGCUCAACCGUAAAAUUGCAGUUGAAACUGGCAGUCUUGAGUACAGUAGAGGUGGGCGGAAUUCGUGGUGUAGCGGUGAAAUGCUUAGAUAUCACGAAGAACUCCGAUUGCGAAGGCAGUUCACUGGACUGCAACUGACACUGAGGCUCGAAAGUGUGGGUAUCAAACAGGAUUAGAUACCCGUGUAGUC